CUUGGCAAACCAUAAGAGGUCCAGCCUGCCCAGUGACUCUGUUCAACGGCCGCGGUAUCCUAACCGUGCGAAGGUAGCGUAAUCACUUGUUCUUUAAAUGAGGACUAGUAUGAACGGCACCACGAGGGUUACACUGUCUCCUCCCUCUAAUCAGUGAAACUAAUCCCCCCGUGAAGAAGCGGGGAUAAAACUAUAAGACGAGAAGACCCUAUGGAGCUUUAAACACAGUAACAAUUGCCCUGACUUCCCCCCCCCCUCCGGGGACAAUUAUUAAUCCAGGCACCUUGAUUACAAGUUUUAGGUUGGGGUGACCGCGGAGCAAAAAAUAACCUCCACAGUGAAAGGGGGUCUUUCCCCUAAACCCCGGGCCACAGCCCUAAGAAUCAAUAAUUUGACACCCGUUGACCCAAUAUUUUUUGACCAACGAAC
Molecule: ribosomal RNA, 429 nt
Filed under: Leptodactylus podicipinus group sp. ABGD cluster 124
Lineage: Eukaryota; Metazoa; Chordata; Amphibia; Anura; Leptodactylidae
Description: partial large subunit ribosomal RNA
Rfam family: Bacterial large subunit ribosomal RNA
Source: RNAcentral